UACAGAGGGGGCAAGCGUUGUUCGGAAUUACUGGGCGUAAAGGGCGCGUAGGCGGCCUGCUAAGUCGAACGUGAAAUCCCUGGGCUCAACCCAGGAACUGCGUCCGAUACUGGUUGGCUUGAAUCCGGGAGAGGGAUGCGGAAUUCCAGGUGUAGCGGUGAAAUGCGUAGAUAUCUGGAGGAAUACCGGUGGCGAAGGCGGCAUCCUGGACCGACAUUGACGCUGAGGAGCGAAAGCUAGGGGAGCAAACGGG
RNAcentral lists this ribosomal RNA (253 nucleotides) under uncultured bacterium. RNAcentral's name for it is "partial 16S ribosomal RNA". It matches the Rfam family "Bacterial small subunit ribosomal RNA", at positions 524 to 776 of the family's 1533-position model. The record is from RNAcentral.